UGYAUCUGAAGCCUGACGAGGAUGAGAACCUCCGGGGGCAAGAGGUUCGACYCGAGCGMAGCGAGAGAACGUUGCGUCAGCAACGGCCCGCAGGGCGAGCCACGCAGUGGCGAGUCAUCCUCUAUCACCGGCAG
RNAcentral lists this small RNA (134 nucleotides) under Salmonella enterica subsp. enterica serovar Dublin. RNAcentral describes it as "RtT sRNA". It matches the Rfam family "RtT RNA". Rfam says of the family: This family represents a bacterial cis-regulatory element known as RtT RNA. The exact function of RtT is unknown although it is thought that it may be involved in changing the cellular response in relation to amino acid starvation. The record is from RNAcentral. Lineage: Bacteria; Pseudomonadati; Pseudomonadota; Gammaproteobacteria; Enterobacterales; Enterobacteriaceae. RNAcentral also lists the same sequence under 1 other name.